AAUCACCCAAACAGAAUUGUAACCUCCGUCAUUGUAAAAGUCAUUUGUCUUUUUUUUUUUUCCUCCUCCUCCGCCUCCUCACUUCCUCCUCAGUAGCCUCAAAAUUGGUACCUUAACCAAUCUCCUCCUCUGAUUUUGUCUCAUCUCAUCACGAAGACUGCUUAGUCCUCUGGUUCUAAUUCUAUUUAGGAAAGCGAUUUCUUAUGGGUUUUUCAGAUUACCGACCAGAAUUUCUUGGGUAAAUUGUAAAUUUAUCUCUUUAAACAUUUCGUAGGUUCUCUUCCAUUCCUUGAUUGAUUUUGCAUUCCUUUGUCAAAGUGGUGGUGCAGAAUACAAAGUCAGUUUUAUCUUUUCUUGAAGAAAUCAAUUUUUUUGGGUUUUCGUCGAUUUGAUCUGGUUUUUUUUUUUUUUUUUUUUUUUUUUUUUUUNACUUGAUCGGUUUCGUAUCGUCGAUAACCUUCAAUCUUUUUUAUAUCUUAAGAUCUUGUGUUGAAUUUCUCUCACCUCAAAUCCCUAGCUGCCUAUGUCACCGAUGCUUCACCUUGUCAAUUGAUUCUCCACCGCCAAACCCAUCGGAUUCUAUCUCGCGCGGCAAUUGGGAGACCCAAUUGGCUUCAAUAUUGCCACUGAUUGAUCAGCUGGGCUUCUUCUAUCGUUGUCCCUCUCAAUUUCAUCUCCAGAUCAGCUUCUCAGAGUAGUUCACUAGCACAAGAGUCUAUCAAGUGUGGGAGUUGAUGUUUUCGUACUAUAAGGAAUGCAGAAUCUUCACUUGGAUGCACAUGCACUCACUGGUUCGAAAAGCUUCACAUCACCAAGGUAUAAGAGGAAAAAUAUGUUUGGAUACACUUGUAUCUUAAAGGUAAUACCAAGUUUUUAAAGAUCCGCGUGUUUUUGUUUAGUUAGUUUACCUUUUUGUCCUUGAUUUGGUUUUUUUUUGUCUUCGUUUUCUGUUUUCGUGGGAGUAUGUAAUGGUUAAACUAGCAAGAGAAGAGAAGCCACCUGGUUAAACCGUUAUUGCAUAUUACACAAAAACGACCAAUCACCUA
Molecule: long non-coding RNA, 1046 nt
Organism: Camelina sativa (false flax)
Lineage: Eukaryota; Viridiplantae; Streptophyta; Magnoliopsida; Brassicales; Brassicaceae
Source: RefSeq, a predicted model, not a curated record